UCAGUUUCACGUUGAAAUCAAACGGGAGCGAAGAAAAUCAGCACAGACAUGUCUCAAGUGUUUGGGUUCUAUAUCCUUAUUAUUUCUGUUUUGUGCAUGUCGGGAUGGUUGAUUCCAACUACGGAGGCAUGUACCACCUGGAUGAAUUGUAAACAUCCCUUGGCGAAAAUAUUAUGCCCGAAUUACUGCAAAGCACGAAACGGAAAAUAAAUCCAGCUGUGCAACAGUUUGCAUGAAUUCUGCACCGAUGACUUCAAUAUUGAGUGAUGCAGUUAUUAUUACAUUGGUAACCAUGGUGAACAGAAAAUAAAGAAAACAAAAAUUUUCCUGAGUC
Megalopta genalis is the source of this 334-nucleotide long non-coding RNA. RefSeq lists it as uncharacterized. NCBI's taxonomy places the organism in Eukaryota, Metazoa, Arthropoda, Insecta, Hymenoptera, Halictidae. The record is from RefSeq and is a predicted model, not a curated record.